GAGAGUUAAACAGUACGUGAAAUUGUUGAAAGGGAAACGAUUGAAGUCAGUCAUACCAACGGGAAAUCAACCUUUUGAGUUUGGUCUCGUGGGUUUUGAAGAGUUUUUAAAAGCCUUCGGAUUUUCGAGAUUGGGUUCUUCUGGUGUACUUUCUCGUACGGUUAGUCAACAUCGGUUUUGAAUGUCAUAAAAUGACUGGAGGAAUGUGGCUUCGAUCUCGUAUUGAAGUGUUAUAGCCUUUGGUAGAUGUGAUGUUUGAGACCGAGGAUUGCAACGGAUACCCUUCUGAGCUAUUCGUCUGAUCUCUGAAACGUUGCUUUGAUGUCGAAAGCUUGCUUAUAAUGUUAGGGUAUUACGAUCAAAAGGUUAGAAUGGAUUAAAUUCGUUAAGGAUGUUGACGUAAUGACUUUAAACGA
RNAcentral lists this ribosomal RNA (416 nucleotides) under uncultured Funneliformis. RNAcentral describes it as "partial 28S ribosomal RNA". Lineage: Eukaryota; Fungi; Glomeromycota; Glomeromycetes; Glomerales; Glomeraceae. The record is from RNAcentral.